Long non-coding RNA from Medicago truncatula (barrel medic), 592 nucleotides. RefSeq lists it as uncharacterized. The record is from RefSeq and is a predicted model, not a curated record. The transcript is spliced from 2 exons. Lineage: Eukaryota; Viridiplantae; Streptophyta; Magnoliopsida; Fabales; Fabaceae.
GGUUCUUCUUGUUCGUUUACUAUAAAAGCCACACACCUUCUGCUUUGUUGCUCAUCGUUUUGGGCUCUCUUUGCUUUGUUUGUUGAGUGGUUAAAGUUGUAUUUGUUUUGUGUUGGUCGCGAUGGUUAUGGAUAACUCAUUUGUUAAGUCGUCUGUUGUUGUUUCUGGUAUUCCUGGAAAUUUGUUGUUCUGGUGGUUAGGAUGUGGAAAUUUGUUAAGCUCGGUGGAGUUGGUGUUGGUUGAUCAGAAUGUCUGAAGUAUUUGGAUGCGUUACGGAAUAAGGUUUUUGUCGAAGACCUGUGAAUGUUUGAUCUUUGAGAGUUUCUCGUGUUAGCUUAGGAUAAAGGCAUUGGUGAGAUGUGGUUGGUUGGGUGAUGAAGACCGGGUUAUUUUGUCGACGAAUUUAGUUUAAUUCUACAUGUUUGUGUAGCGUGAAUGGUUGAUUAUUUUGUUCCCUAAAAAAAAUGAUUAUUUUGCAUAUGUUUCUUGUGGUAGCCUGUUUAUUGUUUUGAUUUGCCCUUUUUGGGUUAUCAAUUAUGUGUAGUUCUCUUUUAUUCGAUCAUCGAUCGAUCUUGAUUGAAGUUUUGUGUAA